Molecule: ribosomal RNA, 282 nt
Filed under: uncultured Pseudomonas sp.
Lineage: Bacteria; Pseudomonadati; Pseudomonadota; Gammaproteobacteria; Pseudomonadales; Pseudomonadaceae
Description: partial 16S ribosomal RNA
Rfam family: Bacterial small subunit ribosomal RNA
Source: RNAcentral
CCCUUGUCCUUAGUUACCAGCACGUUAUGGUGGGCACUCUAAGGAGACUGCCGGUGACAAACCGGAGGAAGGUGGGGAGUGACGUCAAGUCAUCAUGGCCCUUACGGCCUGGGCUACACACGUGCUACAAUGGUCGGUACAAAGGGUUGCCAAGCCGCGAGGUGGAGCUAAUCCCAUAAAACCGAUCGUAGUCCGGAUCGCAGUCUGCAACUCGACUGCGUGAAGUCGGAAUCGCUAGUAAUCGUGAAUCAGAAUGUCACGGUGAAUACGUUCCCGGGCCUU